ACGAACGCUGGCGGCGUGCCUAAUACAUGCAAGUCGAACGAGAGCGACCGGUGCUUGCACUGGUCAAUCUAGUGGCGAACGGGUGGGUAACACGUGGGUAACCUGCCCAUCAGAGGGGGAUAACAUCCGGAAACGGAUGCUAAAACCGCAUAGGUCUUCGAACCGCAUGGUUUGAAGAGGAAAAGAGGCGCAAGCUUCUGCUGAUGGAUGGACCCGCGGUGCAUUAGCUAGUUGGUGAGGUAACGGCUCACCAAGGCCGUGAUGCAUAGCCGACCUGAGAGGGUGAUCGGCCACAUUGGGACUGAGACACGGCCCAAACUCCUACGGGAGGCAGCAGUAGGGAAUCUUCCGCAAUGGACGCAAGUCUGACGGAGCAACGCCGCGUGAGUGAAGAAGGUUUUCGGAUCGUAAAACUCUGUUGUUAGAGAAGAACAAGUGCUAGAGUAACUGUUAGCGCCUUGACGGUAUCUAACCAGAAAGCCACGGCUAACUACGUG
Molecule: ribosomal RNA, 497 nt
Filed under: uncultured bacterium
Lineage: Bacteria
Description: partial 16S ribosomal RNA
Rfam family: Bacterial small subunit ribosomal RNA
Source: RNAcentral